AAUCAACGCUGGCGGCGUGCCUAACACAUGCAAGUCGAACGAGAAAGUGGGGCUUGCUCCACGAGUAAAGUGGCAAACGGGUGAGUAACACGUGAACAACCUGCCCUCGAGUGGGGAAUAACACCGCGAAAGCGGUGCUAAUACCGCAUAACAUCCCGGGGUCGCAUGAUCCUGGGAUCAAAAGCGCAAGUUGCUUGAGGAGGGGUUCACGGCUGAUUAGCUAGUUGGUGAGGUAACGGCCCACCAAGGCAACGAUCAGUAGCCGGCCUGAGAGGGCGAACGGCCACGACUGGAACUGAGACACGGUCCAGACUCCUACGGGAGGCAGCAGUGGGGAAUUUUGCGCAAUGGGCGAAAGCCUGACGCAGCAACGCCGCGUGGAGGAUGAAGGCCUUCGGUCGUAACUCCUGUCAGUGGGACGAAUGCCUCGCAAGAGGUUUGACUGUACCCGUUGAGGAAGCCACGGCUAACUCCGUGCCAGCAGCCGCGGUAAUCAUACUCG
RNAcentral lists this ribosomal RNA (502 nucleotides) under uncultured bacterium. RNAcentral describes it as "bacterial SSU rRNA". It matches the Rfam family "Bacterial small subunit ribosomal RNA", at positions 32 to 529 of the family's 1533-position model. The record is from RNAcentral.